CGACGACUCAGUCUCCUCAGUCCUCCGGCCUCCCGCUUCCCCCAGCCGCACUCCCGGCCAAUCCCGCACUCCCGGCCAGUCCUCCGGCCUCCCGCUUCCCCCAGCCGCACUCCCGGCCAAUCCCGCACUCCCGGCCAAUCCCUAGGCGGCGCGACCAGGCUGCCGGCGGCCGGCGCCUCGGCGAGCAGGUGGCGACGCGCGAGCUGCGACAGCCUGCGGCCCCGCACUCCCGCAACUGCAGGGCACAGGCUCUCCGUGGCAGGCGGCCGACUGUGGCCGAGCAGCUGCCGCACGCUAGGCGCCCCGGCCCCCGCCGCCCCGCUGUCCGCGCAGGGGCUCCACGACGGCAAGCGCGGCUCCGCCAGCGCAACGGCAGCCGCCGAGGCGCGGUUCCGGCCACAUCGGACAGAAUUUUUUUCAUCCUUCAAAGAUUUUGAAUACCCAUACCUCAAAUCCUCUCCCCGUCGCUCCGCUCACUCCGCUGCUGCGUCUCCUCCCAAUCCCCGACCCUGCCUGCCGCGGCUCCUCCCAUCAAGCUGCUCGUCUCCUCCUACCCUCGAUCCCUCCGACCUUCUCAGUCACAGCAUAACCCCUCCGCCGCGGCCGGACGAAGGCGUUCGCGUGGGAGUUGAGGGAGUGCCGGCGGCGUCGCAUCCGGCGAAUCGGCUAGGGCAGCCCGCGACCGUUCAGGUGGCUGCGGCUGCAGGGCUCAAGAGCAGGCAGCGACCAGCCACACGAGCUGGACCUGGGACGAGCAUCAAACAGGGAAUGGAAAGGGGUUCUGCUGCGGAGUGCAGUGAGGUAAAGGCUGUGUUAGGCAGCAAUGAGGAGAAAAAGGCCCAGAAAAGCAAGAAAGACAAGGGCCAGAGAAAGAGGAAGAAAGACAAGGCCAAGGGUCACGGAGGUGAUGGUGAUAGAUUAAUUCAAUCUGACGACAAGAAUCAUAGUGUUGACAUGGAGCAUGCUGAAGUGUCAGCCAAGAUGACUGAAAGACCGUGCUUGGAGAAUACAGAGGUCAUCAUGAGCAAAAGGGAUGUGAAGAAAGACAGGAAAAAAAAUAAAAAAAAUAAAGAGGUUGAUACUAUCAGCCAGAAGCAGACACUUGAUGCUAAUGAUGGAACUGUUGGGUCAGAGUAUUUAGAAAUGAACGAAGGAGAAGGAGCACAUGAUAGCAAGUCAAAGAAGGGCAAAAGAAAGCACCGGGAUGGCGAGACUUCCUCAAAUGGUUCUUCUCAUGAUCAAAUUGUUUCAGGGGGUGAUAAGAAGAGGAAAAGGAAGGAACCUUCAAUUCCUUUGGUAGAGGGCAAUGAAGUUGACACAUCAAAGAUCUGGCAAAACACAAAGGGCAUGAAAAAGAGGAGCAAGGAGAGAGAUAAUAUUGGUGUGGACCUAAGUCUGAAUACACCAGCUGGAGAUGGCAAGAAUUACAACAAAGAGAAAAAUACAAGUAAGGAUGACAAUGAUGGUGGCAAAAGCAGAAAAGUUAACAUGGCACAUCGAAAGGACAAGGGUAGACGAGUGAGCUUCACUGAUGAUGUGGAGGUGUUUAAUAUAGAUGGUGGUGAUGAUCAUCAAGAGGGUGAUGGGAGUGGUGAUUCUGGACUGGUGCAUGGCAAACGGUUUACCCCUGAGGAAGAUGCGAAACUAAUGGAAGCCAUCGAGAAAUAUGCAGAGAUGAAGCAAUUGGGAGACAAAGGGUUAGAGAUGAUUGGUGCUAGCAUGAAACAUCCAGAGAUCAGGGGUUGCUGGGCUGAAAUAGCAACAUCAUUACCUCAUAGACCACAGAUGGCCGUAUACAAACGAGCGCGAAUUUUACUUUAUAGAAGUGCUGAACGUAAAUGGACUCAAGAGGAGUACGAGAUAGUUAAACGGUUUGUUGAAAGGAAUGGCACAAGUUGGAAGGAACUGGCAACAGACCUUGGAAAAAGUGAAAUCCAUGUAAAAGAUACAUGGAGACGAAUGAAACCAAAAAAUUUAAAAAAAGGGGCUUGGACUCAGGAUGAAUACCAAAACUUGUUUGAUCUGGUAAAUUUGGACUUGCGUGUGAAAGCUCACCAAAAGAUCGCUCCUAGUCAUCGCCAGCUAAGAGAUAACAUUUCCUGGGAGGCCAUCAGUGAAAAAUUAACCACCCGUAGUAACAAGGACUGCUGCUUGAAGUGGAGAGCUGCGUAUCUUUGUAUUAAUAGAGAGAGAAAAAUCGGCCCCUUACAAGCAGCACACCUCACUCCGAGCCGAGCUGUACCAGCAAUUAGCAUCACCACUGGUUAAAGAAGGAAUCUGGGCAGAUACUGAUGAUUAUCUGUUGAUGGAAGCGCUUCAAAAGGUUGAUGCUGUUUGUGUUGAAGAUGUUGACUGGGAGAGACUUCUUGAUCACAGAUCUGGGGAGCUUUGCCGUCAACGGUGGAACCAGAUGGUCCACAUGAUCGGUGGCCACAGAGAGAAGCCUUUUAUCGAGCAAGUGGAAGUGCUUGCAAGGCGGUACUGCCCAGAAAUGCUUGAUUACAGGAAAGCUGAAUCGUCCGACAAACUUACUGGAGGAACUGACUAGUGACGAAGAGCAUAACCCUCUUACUUUUUAAAAAAGCAAGCAUAACCCUCUUACAUCUGCCCUGUAAAUGUUUGGUUUUGUUUUGUAUGGCAUGUGGAAAUAUUGGCAAUAUAUGGUUCAAGCACCUGCGAAGAAUGCAAACAUGUCGCAUUUUGAGGAACAAAAUAUAUUGUUUAGGGAUUGAAAGAA
This is an RNA transcript of Panicum virgatum (switchgrass), 2737 nucleotides long. It is a transcript of the gene named RNA polymerase I termination factor-like, with no coding region annotated. The record is from RefSeq and is a predicted model, not a curated record. The transcript has 11 exons. Lineage: Eukaryota; Viridiplantae; Streptophyta; Magnoliopsida; Poales; Poaceae.